Molecule: ribosomal RNA, 497 nt
Filed under: uncultured bacterium
Lineage: Bacteria
Description: partial 16S ribosomal RNA
Rfam family: Bacterial small subunit ribosomal RNA
Source: RNAcentral
GAUGAACGCUGGCGGCGUGCCUAAUACAUGCAAGUCGAGCGAACAGACGAGGAGCUUGCUCCUCUGACGUUAGCGGCGGACGGGUGAUUAACACGUGGAUAACCUACCUAUAAGACUGGGAUAACUUCGGGAAACCGGAUCUAAUACCGGAUAAUAUAUUGAACCGCAUGGUUCAAUAGUGAAAGACGGUUUUGCUGUCACUUAUAGAUGGAUCCGCGCCGCAUUAGCUAGUUGGUAAGGUAACGGCUUACCAAGGCAACGAUGCGUAGCCGACCUGAGAGGGUGAUCGGCCACACUGGAACUGAGACACGGUCCAGACUCCUACGGGAGGCAGCAGUAGGGAAUCUUCCGCAAUGGGCGCAAGCCUGACGGAGCAACGCCGCGUGAGUGAUGAAGGUCUUCGGAUCGUAAAACUCUGUUAUUAGGGAAGAACAAAUGUGUAAGUAACUAUGCACGUCUUGACGGUACCUAAUCAGAAAGCCACGGCUAACUACGUG